GCGCCCGUAGCUCAGUUGGAUAGAGCAACGGCCUUCUAAGCCGUGGGUCGCAGGUUCGAAUCCUGCCGGGCGCACCA
RNAcentral lists this transfer RNA (77 nucleotides) under Phenylobacterium sp. RNAcentral's name for it is "tRNA-Arg". It matches the Rfam family "tRNA". From Rfam's summary of the family: Transfer RNA (tRNA) molecules are approximately 80 nucleotides in length. Their secondary structure includes four short double-helical elements and three loops (D, anti-codon, and T loops). Lineage: Bacteria; Pseudomonadati; Pseudomonadota; Alphaproteobacteria; Caulobacterales; Caulobacteraceae. RNAcentral also lists the same sequence under 3 other names. The record is from RNAcentral.